RNAcentral lists this transfer RNA (85 nucleotides) under Nitrospinaceae bacterium. RNAcentral's name for it is "tRNA-Leu". It matches the Rfam family "tRNA". From Rfam's summary of the family: Transfer RNA (tRNA) molecules are approximately 80 nucleotides in length. Their secondary structure includes four short double-helical elements and three loops (D, anti-codon, and T loops). The record is from RNAcentral. Lineage: Bacteria; Pseudomonadati; Nitrospinota; Nitrospinia; Nitrospinales; Nitrospinaceae.
GCGAGGGUGGCGGAACUGGUAGACGCGCUGGAUUUAGGAUCCAGUGCCUUAGGGCAUGGGGGUUCGAGUCCCCCCCUUCGCACCA